AACGCACCUUGCGCUCCUUGGUAUUCCGAGGAGCAUGCCUGUUUGAGUGUCAUGGAAUUCUCAACUCAUCAGUCUUGUUAUGAGGCUUUGAUGGGCUUGGAUUUGGAGGUUUAUGCUGCAUUUGUAUUAAUGCGGCUCCUCUUGAAUGUAUUAGUAGAACCUGCCAAGCAGUUCUCAGUGUGAUAAUUGUCUACGCUGUGGCUUGCUUGGAUCUUAUAAAUUUCAUGCUUCAAACCGUCUGCAUUAGUGGACAAUUUAUUUGACAAUCUGACCUCAAAUCAGGUAGGACUACCCGCUGAACUUAA
RNAcentral lists this ribosomal RNA (305 nucleotides) under uncultured fungus. RNAcentral's name for it is "eukaryotic LSU rRNA". The stretch from base 1 to 52 matches the Rfam family "5.8S ribosomal RNA", at positions 103 to 154 of the family's 154-position model. The record is from RNAcentral. Lineage: Eukaryota; Fungi.